This is a non-coding RNA of Camellia sinensis, 2589 nucleotides long. NCBI's taxonomy places the organism in Eukaryota, Viridiplantae, Streptophyta, Magnoliopsida, Ericales, Theaceae. The record is from RefSeq and is a predicted model, not a curated record.
AAAAGUAAUUUUUUUGAAAAAGAACUUAUGAAACAUAAACUUGUGGUGACCAUGUCUAUAAAAGUUAAUGGAACCCCAAUGGUAAUUGUUAUGGAAGUAAAAGGGAUUGUGAUUGUAGUGAUGGUGGAGCUGUAAUAUUGUAAAGGUAAAAGUGGGGUGGCACGGUGGUAUAAUGUUAUUGGUGAUUGUGAUGGUGCAAUGAUAGUAGUGGCAGUGGUGGUAGUGAUAGUAGUGAGGUUGUAAGAGUGUAUAUCGAUACUUAUGCAUAAGUAUUUAUAAAUUUAGUCAGUAUUAAAUAAAUUUUCUAUCACUUAAAAAUUUAUUAACUUUAUCAAAUUAGUUUAAUGAAUUUUUACUUAAAACAAUGGGUAAAUUACAGUCAGUACCCUUUGAGGUUUCUGAAAAUUACAUUGGCCUUCUCUUCUUUUUUUGAAAUUGCACUGACCUUUCGAUGACUAACGGCAUUAAUGGGAGCACUACUAGAAAAGUAAUUUUUUGCAACUAAUUUUGUUGCGACCAACUGAUUGACUGUCGCAAAAAAUAAUAUUUGCAAGAGAGACUAAUCUUUUCUUUUAUUUAUUUUUCCCUCUUCUUAUACCUAUGCCCUAAUUCCUUUCACGACUAUUUACAAACAGAGGUGUCUUCGUCUGUCUUGCUCUCUCUAACCUUGUUCAAUCGCCCCUGAUGAUAGGAGCGAUUUUGACCAUAGAUCUCUGACUACAUAUCACCAUUUCCCUAAAUUUUCUCUCUUUAACUCUGUUCAAUCACCCCAAUCUUCUCCAUCUCCACCAUGGUCAUUUAACUUGGAAAAUGCUUUGGGAUCUCACACAAAGGCCAAGCACAAGCACAGUGCUGGACAAUACAUGGAUUUGAAGAGAGAGCUUCUGAGUUCUGAUUGGAAACUCUAUGCUCAGUCUAUUAGGCUUGAAUAGUUAAUGCCUCAACUUUUAUCAGCAAGGUAAGCUUUACUUAGCAAGUUGAUGUAGCAUUUCUAAUAUAUGAUUGAUAGUUACUUAUGCUUUUGAGUUUUGACUUUGAGAAUUUUAAAAUUGUUAUGCUUAUGCUUUUGGGUUUUUGGAGCAAGACAGGUAACCACUGAUCAACAUAAUAAAUAAGUCUAUUGUGGUACCCUCCUAACCAAAUACUCUCAUGCAUUGUGAGUAAUUUUUUCUUAUUUUGCAUAAUUGUUGUGGCCUGUGCAAUAUUCAUGUAAUAGAUUUCUUGUUAUCUUAGUUCUUAUUUUUAUAUUUGGGGACUCUCUUGAUCCAAAAGGAGGUGAGUUUGCUUUAGGGUGUUGACAAGGACAUGAAAAAGCUUUCAAUCCCUCUUCCUACAAGUGAUGAGACUGAUAAUUGCACCAUCAUCUGGUGUGAUGUUCUUACACAAUAUCAAGUCAAUAUUCACAAGGACCCAUGAUUAAAAAUAUAUAUAUAUACAUGAAUAAAAAAAGAAAGAGUGGCAUAGUUUCUCUCUCUCUCUCUCUCUCUCUAUGUCAUUUUUCAUGCACAGAUGGUGUGGCUGGUAAUCACAUGAUAAUACGUGCUUCUUGUGAUCUUGUAGAUUGAUGGUGUGGCGAAGUUUCGAAUGUUGCAUAUUAUUAUGAAAUUUUCAACUAGUUUGUUAGUAUUAGGAACUUUUGGUGGUUUGGUCCUGUGCUUUUGUGGACUCAAGUUGACAUCAAACUUUUUUGAGAUGUGAUUGAGACCCCCUCAAUCACCAACCCCCACCACCCCACACACACGUGGGGGUUGGUGAUUGGAGGAGAAAAAAAAAAAAAAAAAUCUGGCCAAUCAAUCCAAGAGGGGGUUGUGGGGGUGGGGGGGAAAAGGGAGUCCGGAUCAUUUUUGAACUUUUUUUAGCUGGAAAUGUUAUGAAAAGGAUUUCUAUGCACAACGCCAUUCUUGUGGACUAUUUGAUGAAUGAUCAUUUUAUCAAGUAUUAUCAAUUUUUUUUAUUUCCAUGCUUGAAUUGACUUUAAAUACAUACUAUUUACUAAUCAUUAGUUGUCUGUUUUAUAUUUGAUGAAUCUCUUAGUGCUGACUUGUGCUUGAGAGCCAAUGGACCUCUACUGAUCACCCACACUCAGUGAACCUGUCAAGUUAUUUUCAAUGUGUCAUUUAUAUUGGCUGUACAGUGCUAGCUGAGAAAGUUUGAUAUUGUGUUGGUUUUUGUCUUACUAGUGUUCAAUAAUCAAAUUCAUGCCUCUUUUUGCUCGAACUUGUAGUUUCAAUAUUAGAGGUUGAUGAUUUGUUUCCGAUGUUCUCCUGACAGAGGGAGCAAUGGUGGCAACAAGACUGACAGGAAUUCUUUCAGGACAACCUAUAUUCUUCAAGACUCUGUAACAAGACUGUACAGAAGUGGCCUUUUUCUUGUUUCCAUAUACUAGUUUUUAAUGUGAAUUUGGGUGGUAAUUGCAAGGAUUCUUGGAAUCAGAACUACUUUAACCUCAAAUGUUUUUUUUGUAAUUGCAAUAGGUGGAAAAUCUUUGCAAGAUUCUUUUAGGAACUUUGUUAUUGUAACGGGAAUUUUAUUAAAGGAAGAGAUGGAAAAUAAUGCAUGAAUGUUAAAAUUUUUGUAAAUAUCUCUUUA